AACGAACGCCGGCGGCAGGCCUAACACAUGCAAGUCGAGCGCACCCUUCGGGGUGAGCGGCGGACGGGUGAGUAACGCGUGGGAACGUGCCCUUCUCUGCGGAAUAGCCUCGGGAAACUGAGAGUAAUACCGCAUACGCCCUUUGGGGGAAAGAUUUAUCGGAGAAGGUUCCGCCCGCGUUGGAUUAGGUAGUUGGUGGGGUAAUGGCCCACCAAGCCGACGAUCCAUAGCUGGUUUGAGGGGAUGCUCAGCCCCACUGGGACUGUGCCACGGCCCAAACUGCGACGAGAGGGAGCAGUGGGGAAAUUAGAAAAGGGGGGACAGCCCGAGCCUGCCUCGCGGGGGUUAGUGACGAAGGCCUUAGGUUCGUAGAGCUCCUUGACUUGGGAAAUAAUGGCCGGGCCCGGGAAAAAAGCCCCCGGUAAACUGGUG
Molecule: ribosomal RNA, 432 nt
Filed under: uncultured bacterium
Lineage: Bacteria
Description: partial 16S ribosomal RNA
Rfam family: Bacterial small subunit ribosomal RNA
Source: RNAcentral